GGGGAUGUACCGGUUUCGACAGGAGAUUCUGGGACAUAAACAGCGAGUCGGGAUCCCACCUGCCCGUUAAACGGUGGAAAAACCUAAACGCAAAACGUGAUUUUGCUUUAGCAGCCUAAUCUGCUAAUGUCCCCUGCAGUUUUCCUAUGACCGCAGGCUGACAUCAACCAAUAGGAUAGAGCGGAAGGAUGCUUGGGACUUUCGUUUCGAAAACCAUUCCGAGAUCGGCAAAGGCAGUUUGUUCCUGUACGAUACUUUGCUUAAAUCUUAAAACAGUGAACUGCACUCGGAGAGGUUUAUGGGACAGGCUUUUUGGACAGGGGUUCGACUCCCCUCAUCUCCACCA
Non-coding RNA from Dialister sp. CAG:486, 346 nucleotides. It matches the Rfam family "transfer-messenger RNA". Rfam says of the family: Bacterial tmRNA, also known as 10Sa RNA or SsrA, is named for its dual tRNA and mRNA-like properties. Its role is to liberate the mRNA from a stalled ribosome. To accomplish this part of the tmRNA is used as a reading frame that ends in a translation stop signal. The record is from Rfam. Lineage: Bacteria; Bacillati; Bacillota; Negativicutes; Veillonellales; Veillonellaceae.